Molecule: non-coding RNA, 96 nt
Organism: Panus rudis PR-1116 ss-1
Lineage: Eukaryota; Fungi; Basidiomycota; Agaricomycetes; Polyporales; Panaceae
Source: the annotation of a GenBank genome assembly
GGUGAGAUGGCCGAGUGGUCUAAGGCGCCAGACUAAGGCUUUUCUAGCUUGUCUAUCUGGUCCGAAAGGGCGUGGGUUCGAAUCCCACUCUCAUCA